Molecule: small nuclear RNA, 195 nt
Organism: Protopterus annectens (West African lungfish)
Lineage: Eukaryota; Metazoa; Chordata; Ceratodontiformes; Protopteridae
Product: U2 spliceosomal RNA
Exons: 1
Source: RefSeq, a predicted model, not a curated record
CUCGCUUCUCUGCCUUUUGGCUAAGAUCAAGUGUAGUAUCUUUAGUAACUUCCACCUCUGUAAAAUCUUAGAAUCUAUAAAUUCAACUACUGUUUGUAUAUACCUGAAUAAGAUCUCCUCUUGGAUAUCUGUAAGAGACACUGUACAAGUUUAGAUAUUUUAGUCUUUCAAAAUAACUUAAAUGUUCACAUCUAU